Gadus macrocephalus (Pacific cod) is the source of this 1521-nucleotide long non-coding RNA. RefSeq lists it as uncharacterized. The record is from RefSeq and is a predicted model, not a curated record. NCBI's taxonomy places the organism in Eukaryota, Metazoa, Chordata, Actinopteri, Gadiformes, Gadidae. The transcript has 2 exons.
CAAUAUUGUCACUUUAUACAAACUGAAAGUAUGCGUUGUUGCGUGUUUGUUUUUGUGGGCAUUUGACUGAAAAGCCCAGACAAAUAUUGCUACCAACAUGGCACUUCGAAACAGACCACCGCAGUGUUAGAUGACUGACAAGAUCUAUGGGGGGGCCCCCUUUGGGCCCCCCCAUACCAACUUAGUCUUCAAAGGAAUCUAGUGCCAUGGGACUCCAGUGUCUUCAAAACAUCCUCGGAAUACAUGUGUAUGAAUGGUCCACCGAAGGGUUGAUCUGGAAGCCACCACGUUCCACGCAGUAAUCUGCUGCGUGGGCCGUAGUGGCUUCCAGAGCCAUCUUUCGGUCUUGGUCAGGAUUUGUUACAGUUGCCCUUCAAUGUAGCAGGCUACGGGUUUCUGAAGAAGCCUGCUUUACGUAGCAUUGGAGUACAAAUAUUGUGCAAAAUGCUCAUGUAAUUGCACUAGCACUAGUAACCUGUAGAUUAGCUUAGUUUAACGUCAUUCCGUGCUGUCUCUGUCAAAUGUGUGGCUUACUUUAAGUCCACAAGGCCCUCUGGUAAACCACGUUGGAACACCCCUGGACAAGGUGAUUAGUCACUGGGUGUGUGCUAAAGUUUUGUUCCAUUUUUCACUAGUUGGUUAAGGUUUGGUAGAAUUGUUUGGAUGCUAGCGACGUGAUGGCGUAUGUACAAGAGCCUACCGUGGCCAGGCCACAGUUGUCACGGCCAGAUGGCCUAGUGUGAGUGCAACCUUGAUUGCAUUUGUAUACUGUUUACCAUUGGAUGUUUAUGCAAUUUGGCUUAAUUCAUCCGCAGUAAAGCUGCAUUUGACUAUUCCAGGGUCGUUUUGUACAGGCUUUCAAUUGACCAUGUUGACUAGUUUGUGGGAAUUAUUAUUUAUUUUUUUACCCUUGCUUACAAUCCAACGGUUGUGACCACUUAUGCAACUGGGCUGUGAACCUUGCAAUUCUAGUUGCAUAUUUGUACAAGCAAGCUUGUCCAUUUCUAUCGCCAUCACUAACACUAGCUUCAGCAUUUCCUUGUAGGCCAUUAGCUGACUUGUGUAUUGGAGCGAUGAUUUGGGUAUUUUAAGAUGCUUGAAAACCUAAAAUAAAGCAAAAUGCGUGUCUGGUGUGCAAGAGCCAAUUUGUUGGCUUGCAGUAGUCGAGGAGUUUCCGUAGGUCGUAAGCCAUCUGGAGGUUGUGGCAAUGGAGGCUUGUGGUAGAUCUGCCAUCGAAGAAAGGUUAAUUCUUCUGAAGCAUGAUUAAUAGUUUAGUAAAUUUAAUCUAUUCAUAUAGAACUAUAAAAUCCAAGACUGCAGCCAGUAACUUGGAUCGCAAUAUGUGGAAAGUAUUAGUCUUCAUUUGUAACAACAGAAUAAUUAACAUGACUAACUGGGUUUCUUCCAUUUUCUAACUAGGGGGACUUGACUGGUGAGUCUACUGGAUUAAUCAGUAGCGGUACUUUGCCCAACAGAUUUGAUGGCAUGACUACAGGGUGACAAAGACAAUUAUUCCCUGCC